Molecule: ribosomal RNA, 479 nt
Filed under: uncultured organism
Description: partial 16S ribosomal RNA
Rfam family: Bacterial small subunit ribosomal RNA
Source: RNAcentral
GUACACUCCUGCGGGAGGCAGCAGUGGGGAAUAUUGCACAAUGGGCGCAAGCCUGAUGCAGCCAUGCCGCGUGUAUGAAGAAGGCCUUCGGGUUGUAAAGUACUUUCAGCGGGGAGGAAGGCAAUACGGUUAAUAACCGUGUUGAUUGACGUUACCCGCAGAAGAAGCACCGGCUAACUCCGUGCCAGCAGCCGCGGUAAUACGGAGGGUGCAAGCGUUAAUCGGAAUUACUGGGCGUAAAGCGCACGCAGGCGGUCUGUCAAGUCGGAUGUGAAAUCCCCGGGCUCAACCUGGGAACUGCAUUCGAAACUGGCAGGCUUGAGUCUUGUAGAGGGGGGUAGAAUUCCAGGUGUAGCGGUGAAAUGCGUAGAGAUCUGGAGGAAUACCGGUGGCGAAGGCGGCCCCCUGGACAAAGACUGACGCUCAGGUGCGAAAGCGUGGGGAGCAAACAGGAUUAGAUACCCUAGUAGUCCCAUGAU